GAUGAAGAACGUAGCGAAAUGCGAUAAGUAGUGUGAAUUGCAGAAUUCAGUGAAUCAUCGAAUCUUUGAACGCACAUUGCGCCCCUUGGUACUCCAUGGGGCAUGCCUGUUCGAGCGUCAUUGCAACCCCUCAAGCACAGCUUGUGUGUUGGGCUCUCGUCCCCCGUGGACGGGCCUGAAAUGCAGUGGCAGCACCGAGAUACCGGUGUCUGAGUGUAUGGGCAUUGAUCAUCACUCGAUAGACCCGAUCGGCGCUGACCGUCAAACCACGAUUCCUCGGAAUCAUCCAGUUUUGACCUCGGAUCAGGUAGGAAUACCCGCUGAACUUAAGCAUAUCAAUAAGCGGAGGA
Molecule: unclassified non-coding RNA, 350 nt
Filed under: soil metagenome
Description: partial contains 5.8S ribosomal RNA, internal transcribed spacer 2, and large subunit ribosomal RNA
Rfam family: 5.8S ribosomal RNA (bases 1-120)
Source: RNAcentral